RNAcentral lists this long non-coding RNA (1398 nucleotides) under Sus scrofa (pig). Its description in RNAcentral is "lncRNA (ENSSSCG00005025960.1)". Lineage: Eukaryota; Metazoa; Chordata; Mammalia; Artiodactyla; Suidae. The record is from RNAcentral.
GGGGGGAGAACAUAGCGCAGUUAAUCCAUGUGCAGCAUCAUGGUAAGCUUGUAACAGAGGUGCCAGCAGCGUAGGCUAAAAGGAGGAAAAACCACAAAACCAUGGACAUUGCGGGAACCUGAACAGAAUGUGACAAAAGUCAAUUUGACAUUUUCAAGCUCUGUACAAUGCUAUGCACCUUGAAACGCUCAAUAAAGUAACUGUUGACAACUCAUUAGCUGUUCUGUAAAACAUCUAAAGUGGGAGAAUCCUGAUUGUUGUCAUGAGGUUUGGGGAGUCAUCUGUGAUUUUCCUUCUUUUUUUUCCCCCAUCUUCUUUUUGAUUCACAAGCUGUUUCCACUCCCAUCUGCAGUUCUUUCUUUCUCUCUUUCUUUCUCUCAUCUUGAAUCACACAUGAGAAAACAAAGAGAUGGUUAGAUCCUUGAAACAGGCCCGGAACUUCUUUUGCAUGUCAUUUUUCUGAAAAGCUAUUUGGCACAUGAAACAUUUGUGAUGGGUCCUUCAUAAGCAAGCACCCGGGGCUAAUUGCUGCACUGAUUCUGAAUCACAUGGGAAGUGAUAGAAACUCUCUUAUUUGUUUAUUCAUGGGGAACUCCCACCCCAAGUGUGAGCAAUGACAAGCAGUCUUUGAAGCUGGGUGGUCCUCUGUGGCCUUUAGUAGGGCACUGUCCCUGGGGUGGAGGUGGCAGUAAAGCUUGGCUGCCUUCCCAGUGUGGGCAGUCUUGAGUGUGACACGAUACGCACUUUUCAAAAUGUCACACUGUGAGCCAUAAAGGGUGGACCCUUUGACCUUCAUAAAUGACUUCUCAGACAGAAUUCUCUUCGUCUCUUUUUUCCUUUGUCUUUAUCUUUGUCUUUUCUAGGGCCACACCCACGGCAUAUGGAAGUUCCCAGGCUAAGUGUCAAAUCAGAGCUGUAGCAACUCGGCAUCUGAGCCUCAGCUGCAACCUAUGCUGCAGCUCGAGGCGCAGUGCUGAUCCUUAAUCCACUUUGCAAGGCCAGGGAUUGAACCCGUAUUCUCAUGGAUAAAUAGUCGGGUUCUUAAUCUGCUAAGCCACAACAGGAACUCUUUUUAAAAAAAGCAAAACAAAAAAAACAGCUUAUUUUUAUCUUUUUUUUUUUCUUUGAGUUCUAAUAAUUGCACUCCAAACCGAUUAUUCUUAAAUUUCAACAAAGAAAGCACUCAUGACCACUGGUCCUUGUUACUUGUGUGCAGUGAGUUGGCGUCCACAGGGAGAUGGUCUCAGGAAGGCAUCAAGGUCAAGGUCACUCCUGGAGGCCGUGUUGCCUGAUGGUUAAGAGCCCAGGCUUGUUGCUGUGGCUCUGGCAUAGGCUGGCAGCUUGUAGCUCUGAUUCGACCCUAGAUAAAACAGACAAAAAAAAAAAAAAAAAAAAAAA